Molecule: ribosomal RNA, 682 nt
Filed under: Pseudomonas putida
Lineage: Bacteria; Pseudomonadati; Pseudomonadota; Gammaproteobacteria; Pseudomonadales; Pseudomonadaceae
Description: bacterial SSU rRNA
Rfam family: Bacterial small subunit ribosomal RNA
Source: RNAcentral
GCUCUUCGAUUCAGCGGCGGACGGGUGAGUAAUGCCUAGGAAUCUGCCUGGUAGUGGGGGACAACGUUUCGAAAGGAACGCUAAUACCGCAUACGUCCUACGGGAGAAAGCAGGGGACCUUCGGGCCUUGCGCUAUCAGAUGAGCCUAGGUCGGAUUAGCUAGUUGGUGAGGUAAUGGCUCACCAAGGCGACGAUCCGUAACUGGUCUGAGAGGAUGAUCAGUCACACUGGAACUGAGACACGGUCCAGACUCCUACGGGAGGCAGCAGUGGGGAAUAUUGGACAAUGGGCGAAAGCCUGAUCCAGCCAUGCCGCGUGUGUGAAGAAGGUCUUCGGAUUGUAAAGCACUUUAAGUUGGGAGGAAGGGCAGUGAGCGAAUACCUUACUGUUUUGACGUUACCGACAGAAUAAGCACCGGCUAACUCUGUGCCAGCAGCCGCGGUAAUACAGAGGGUGCAAGCGUUAAUCGGAAUUACUGGGCGUAAAGCGCGCGUAGGUGGUUGGUUAAGUUGGAUGUGAAAGCCCCGGGCUCAACCUGGGAACUGCAUCCAAAACUGGCCAGCUAGAGUAGGGCAGAGGGUGGUGGAAUUUCCUGUGUAGCGGUGAAAUGCGUAGAUAUAGGAAGGAACACCAGUGGCGAAGGCGACCACCUGGGCUCAUACUGACACUGAGGUGCGAAAGC